GAUGCUGGCUCAGAAUGAACGCUAGCUACAGGCUUAACACAUGCAAGUCGAGGGGCAGCAUGACCUAGCAAUAGGUUGAUGGCGACCGGCGCACGGGUGAGUAACACGUAUCCAACCUACCGGUUAUUCCGGGAUAGCCUUUCGAAAGAAAGAUUAAUACCGGAUAGUAUAACGAGAAGGCAUCUUCUUGUUAUUAAAGAAUUUCGAUAACCGAUGGGGAUGCGUUCCAUUAGUUUGUUGGCGGGGUAACGGCCC
This 255-nucleotide ribosomal RNA is filed under the name uncultured bacterium. Its description in RNAcentral is "partial 16S ribosomal RNA". It matches the Rfam family "Bacterial small subunit ribosomal RNA", at positions 15 to 266 of the family's 1533-position model. The record is from RNAcentral.